GAUGAAGAACGUAGCGAAAUGCGAUACUUGGUGUGAAUUGCAGAAUCCCGUGAACCAUCGAGUCUUUGAACGCAAGUUGCGCCCGAAGCCAUUAGGCCGAGGGCACGCCUGCCUGGGCGCCACACGUCGUUGCCCCCCCAUCUACUCCUUCGGGAUUGCGGGGGGCGGAUGAUGGCCUCUCGUGCGCCUCGUCGCGCGGUUGGCCUAAAUGCCAAGUCCUCGGCGACGCACGCCACGACAAUCGGUGGUUGCGAAACCUCGGUUGCCUGUCGUGUGCGGUCGUCGCGCAUCGAGGGCUCGAAAAAAUUGCCGGGCUUCGGCUCGACUUUCAACGCGACCCCAGGUCAGGCGGGGUUACCCGCUGAAUUUAAGCAUAUCAAUAAGCGGAGGA
This 391-nucleotide unclassified non-coding RNA is filed under the name soil metagenome. Its description in RNAcentral is "partial contains 5.8S ribosomal RNA, internal transcribed spacer 2, and large subunit ribosomal RNA". The stretch from base 1 to 122 matches the Rfam family "5.8S ribosomal RNA", at positions 35 to 154 of the family's 154-position model. The record is from RNAcentral.